GACGAACGCUGGCGGCGUGCCUAAUACAUGCAAGUUGAGCGCUGAAGGUUGGUACUUGUACCAACUGGAUGAGCAGCGAACGGGUGAGUAACGCGUGGGGAAUCUGCCUUUGAGCGGGGGACAACAUUUGGAAACGAAUGCUAAUACCGCAUAAAAACUUUAAACACAAGUUUUAAGUUUGAAAGAUGCAAUUGCAUCACUCAAAGAUGAUCCCGCGUUUUAUUAGCUAGUUGGUGAGGUAAAGGCUCACCAAGGCGAUGAUACAUAGCCGACCUGAGAGGGUGAUCGGCCACAUUGGGACUGAGACACGGCCCAAACUCCUACGGGAGGCAGCAGUAGGGAAUCUUCGGCAAGGGACGAAAGUCUGACCGAGCAACGCCGCGUGAGUGAAGAAGGUUUUCGGAUCGUAAAACACUGUUGGUAGAGAAGAACGUUGGUGAGAGUGGAAAGCUCAUCAAGUGACGGUAACUACCCAGAAAGGGACGGCUAACUACGUG
This 497-nucleotide ribosomal RNA is filed under the name uncultured bacterium. RNAcentral describes it as "partial 16S ribosomal RNA". It matches the Rfam family "Bacterial small subunit ribosomal RNA", at positions 28 to 507 of the family's 1533-position model. The record is from RNAcentral.